This 440-nucleotide ribosomal RNA is filed under the name uncultured bacterium. RNAcentral describes it as "partial 16S ribosomal RNA". It matches the Rfam family "Bacterial small subunit ribosomal RNA", at positions 338 to 795 of the family's 1533-position model. The record is from RNAcentral.
CCUACGGGUGGCAGCAGUGGGGAAUAUUGCACAAUGGGGGGAACCCUGAUGCAGCAAUGCCGCGUGGGUGAAGAAGCACUCCGGUGCGUAAAGCCCUGUCAGCAGGGAAGAAAAUGACAGUACCUGACCAAGAAGCCCCGGCUAACUACGGGCCAGCAGCCGCGGUAAUACGUAGGGGGCAAGCGUUUUCCGGAUUUACUGGGUGGAAAGGGAGCGGAGGCGGUAUGGCAAGUCAGAUGUGAAAAGCCGGGGCCCAACCCUGGGACUGCAUUUGAAACUGCCCUACUUGAGUGCCGGAGAGGUAAGUGGAAUUCCUGGUGUAGCGGUGAAAUGCGUAGAUAUUAGGAGGAACACCAGUGGCGAAGGCGGCUUACUGGACGGUAACUGACGCUGAGGCUCGAAAGCGUGGGGAGCAAACAGGAUUAGAUACCCGUGUAGUC